This is an RNA transcript of Etheostoma cragini (Arkansas darter), 1720 nucleotides long. It is a transcript of the gene named lysosomal amino acid transporter 1 homolog, with no coding region annotated. The transcript has 9 exons. The record is from RefSeq and is a predicted model, not a curated record. NCBI's taxonomy places the organism in Eukaryota, Metazoa, Chordata, Actinopteri, Perciformes, Percidae.
UGUCGCCUAUUUGGGACUGGGGACCACCAGCGAUGGAUAAGCUAGGAGGUAAUCUAAAAUGUUCUUCAAAGGCUAUACACAUUGCUUACAGAAACCUGUAAGGAUGUGGGGAAAGUUAACUAAGACCCAUAAACAGUCUGACCUAUUUACCGAGUCCAUUUGGUCAGACUCGUCACAAGACAGAACAAGUAUUUUAUGAGGUAGGUAGGCUAGGUGUGUCAGACCUGCUUUUAUUAGUUGUGGGUUUUUUGCCAGAAUAAAUACACAUAUACUCACAAUGUCGAACCAGCGCUAACAGCAGGAAGAGGGAUCCUGCAGCUGAGGAGCAGGCAUAGCCCGGCGGACAGAACCGGCAUCUCGCCAUGGCCACCGCGCGCUUCCCCGGGAAGGGUGUGGACGUGGCUGCCGCCAACUGGACAGCUCCAGCGCUGGGCCGGCCGGUGUGUGUCAACGGGACGCCGUGGAUCCUUUACCUCCUGGAGGAGUGUGUGGAUAAUGUGUGGGAGUACUGCAGCGUGGUUAUAGGACUCGUAUCCAUGUUCUGUUUUCUGCUGUCUACUCUGCCGCAGGUCUAUGAGGCCUAUCGGAACGGUAAAGUGGAGGAGGGCAUGUCUUUUGGCUUUCUUUUCUUUCUCUUCAGUGGAGACUUGACCAGCUUUGCAGGCUGCUACCUCACCAGCCAGCUGCCUAUUCAGGUAGUCACAGUGGUGUUCUACAUCUUCACAGACCUGAUCCUCAUCUCACAGUUUAUCUACUAUAAGAUCAAAAACAACUCCAGCAGAAAAAGCCCUGUGUUGAAGUGGCUGUGCUUCAUGUGGUGUGGCGCUGCUACCUUAGUUCUCCUGGCUUUACCCAAACUCAUCAUUGACAACAGUUCAACUUUAGACACCAAGAGUCCAACUACCUCUAAUUCAGUUGAAAUCACUGGCUAUAUAUGUGGAUACCUGGCAUCCAUCUUCUACCUCUGCUCCCGUUUUCCCCAGCUCUAUAAAAAUUUCCAGCGUCAGUCUACAGAGGGCACCUCUUACCUUUUGUUUGCCCUGGCCAUGAUGGGCAAUGGGACGUAUGGGUUGAGCGUCAUCGUGGUCCUGCCUGCACUGAAGGGCUCCAAACAGACCUUCAUCUUCAAACAUCUGGCCUGGCUCAUUGGCAGCCUGGGAGUCCUCAUACUUGACUUCUUUGUGACUGCCCAGUUCAUUGUGUACAGGAAAAAAAACUCUGCUAAAAGCAGCACACUACUCAGUGUCCCAGAAGUGGAGCCUCUACUGUGCGAGGAAGUGGAACUGUCCCUGUUGUAGGACACAGAAUGGACACUGCAAUGGACCGCUCAGUCUAUGGUUUGUUUUGUAAACAUACCGUGGAUUCUCUGUGGUUAUUGACUUACUCAUAACAACUUUAGAGAACAAGGACAUUUUAGAAGCAUUCCAGAAGGUACUAGCAGCCUUGUUGUAAUACCAGCAAACAGUUCCAGUCCAUCUUGACAGUCUGAUUUUCUGCUGUUAAGAGGACAAACAUGAUCCACUCUUGUAUGGUUUACUGUGGUAAUAGGACAGGGAAAGCUACAGAAAACAUCUGGUCAAUACAUUUUUCUUAGCACACUUUAUUGUUUUGCAGAGUAGUUGUCUGUAUCUGCGGCCAUGUGUCAAAGUUUCUCUAUAGGUAGGCGAGUUACGAUCAACUACAUGUUUUGUAAUGGUUAUAAAUACUGUAAUUUUUUAUA